GAUGAAGAACGUAGCGAAAUGCGAUAAGUAAUGUGAAUUGCAGAAUUCAGUGAAUCAUCGAAUCUUUGAACGCACAUUGCGCCCGCCAGUAUUCUGGCGGGCAUGCCUGUCCGAGCGUCAUUUCAACCCUCGAACCCCUCCGGGGGGUCGGCGUUGGGGAUCGGCCCUCCCUUAGCGGGUGGCCGUCUCCGAAAUACAGUGGCGGUCUCGCCGCAGCCUCUCCUGCGCAGUAGUUUGCACACUCGCAUCGGGAGCGCGGCGCGUCCACAGCCGUUAAACACCCAACUUCUGAAAUGUUGACCUCGGAUCAGGUAGGAAUACCCGCUGAACUUAAGCAUAUCAAUAAGCGGAGA
This 353-nucleotide unclassified non-coding RNA is filed under the name soil metagenome. RNAcentral describes it as "partial contains 5.8S ribosomal RNA, internal transcribed spacer 2, and large subunit ribosomal RNA". The stretch from base 1 to 120 matches the Rfam family "5.8S ribosomal RNA", at positions 35 to 154 of the family's 154-position model. The record is from RNAcentral.